Molecule: ribosomal RNA, 409 nt
Filed under: bacterium
Lineage: Bacteria
Description: partial 16S ribosomal RNA
Rfam family: Bacterial small subunit ribosomal RNA
Source: RNAcentral
UGGGGAAUAUUGCACAAUGGGCGAAAGCCUGAUGCAGCGACGCCGCGUGAGGGAUGACGGCCUUCGGUUUGUAAACCUCUUUCAGUAGGGACGAAGCGCAAGUGACGGUACCUGCAGAAGAAGCACCGGCUAACUACGUGCCAGCAGCCGCGGUAAUACGUAGGGUGCGAGCGUUGUCCGGAAUUACUGGGCGUAAAGAGCUCGUAGGCGGUUUGUCACGUCGUCUGUGAAAUCCUAGGGCUUAACCCUGGACGUGCAGGCGAUACGGGCUGACUUGAGUACUACAGGGGAGACUGGAAUUUCUGGUGUAGCGGUGGAAUGCACAGAUAUCAGGAAGAACACCGAUGGCGAAGGCAGGUCUCUGGGUAGUAACUGACGCUGAGGAGCGAAAGCAUGGGUAGCGAACAGG